Molecule: non-coding RNA, 51 nt
Filed under: Schistosoma mansoni
Lineage: Eukaryota; Metazoa; Platyhelminthes; Trematoda; Strigeidida; Schistosomatidae
Source: RNAcentral
AUGCAGCUGACGAGUUCCAAAUGGGAGGAAGUAACGCGCGUCGAACUGGAU